GACGAACGCUGGCGGCGUGCUUAACACAUGCAAGUCGAACGGAAAGGCCCUGCUUGCAGGGUACUCGAGUGGCGAACGGGUGAGUAACACGUGGGUGAUCUGCCCUGCACUUCGGGAUAAGCCUGGGAAACUGGGUCUAAUACCGGAUAGGAGCCCUUUUUAGUGUGAUGGUUGGAAAGUUUUUUCGGUGUGGGAUGAGAUCGCGGCCUAUCAGCUUGUUGGUGGGGUAAUGGCCUACCAAGGCGGCGACGGGUAGCCGGCCUGGGAGGGUGGACGGCCAAAAUGGGGCUGGGGAUAGGCCCCGACCCCCACGGGGGGGAGGAGGGGGGGAUAUUGGACAAUGGGGGGGAGCCUGAUGCAGCGACGCCGCGUGGGGGAUGACGGGCUUCGGGUUGGAAAAUCGUUUCGCUAGGGACGAAGCUUUUUGUGACGGUACCUAGAUAAGAAGCACCGGCUAACUACGUG
This 465-nucleotide ribosomal RNA is filed under the name uncultured bacterium. RNAcentral's name for it is "partial 16S ribosomal RNA". It matches the Rfam family "Bacterial small subunit ribosomal RNA", at positions 28 to 507 of the family's 1533-position model. The record is from RNAcentral.